AUGACCGAAGGUGAACAUGACCGUAAGGUCAUAGAUUUUUAUGGAACCUUGAAAGAGAUCAUUCAGUUAGAUUAUAACUUGAAAGAUAGGUCAAUUGUUUUGUCUAAAUGUGACUGGUUUAAACUUGAUGGAAAGAAGACUGAACUUAAAAAUGAUGGUUUUUUUCAAAAGCAUACAUGUUGGAAGUUUUUGGUACAAGGAUGA
This 204-nucleotide ribosomal RNA is filed under the name Triticum aestivum (bread wheat). Its description in RNAcentral is "partial small subunit ribosomal RNA". Lineage: Eukaryota; Viridiplantae; Streptophyta; Magnoliopsida; Poales; Poaceae. The record is from RNAcentral.